This 99-nucleotide long non-coding RNA is filed under the name Phascolarctos cinereus (koala). RNAcentral's name for it is "lncRNA (ENSPCIG00000026445.2)". Lineage: Eukaryota; Metazoa; Chordata; Mammalia; Diprotodontia; Phascolarctidae. The record is from RNAcentral.
GGACAAGGAGACUGGAGUGGAGAGAUGAGGGUCUCUCCCUACUGGAGUCGGAGAGGAGGGCAGAGUCACCUACCUCCCAAGCAACAGAGGCCUUUGUGA